Molecule: ribosomal RNA, 497 nt
Filed under: uncultured bacterium
Lineage: Bacteria
Description: partial 16S ribosomal RNA
Rfam family: Bacterial small subunit ribosomal RNA
Source: RNAcentral
GAUGAACGCUGGCGGCGUGCCUAAUACAUGCAAGUCGAGCGAACGGACGAGAAGCUUGCUUCUCUGAUGUUAGCGGCGGACGGGUGAGUAACACGUGGAUAACCUACCUAUAAGACUGGGAUAACUUCGGGAAACCGGAGCUAAUACCGGAUAAUAUUUUGAACCGCAUGGUUCAAAAGUGAAAGACGGUCUUGCUGUCACUUAUAGAUGGAUCCGCGCUGCAUUAGCUAGUUGGUAAGGUAACGGCUUACCAAGGCAACGAUGCAUAGCCGACCUGAGAGGGUGAUAGGCCACACUGGAACUGAGACACGGUCCCGACUCCUACGGGAGGCAGCAGUAGGGAAUCUUCCGCAAUGGGCGAAAGCCUGACGGAGCAACGCCGCGUGAGUGAUGAAGGUCUUCGGAUCGUAAAACUCUGUUAGUAGGGAAGAACAUAUGUGUAAGUAACUGUGCACAUCUUGACGGUACCUAAUCAGAAAGCCACGGCUAACUACGUG